Molecule: long non-coding RNA, 2386 nt
Organism: Epinephelus fuscoguttatus (brown-marbled grouper)
Lineage: Eukaryota; Metazoa; Chordata; Actinopteri; Perciformes; Serranidae
Exons: 3
Source: RefSeq, a predicted model, not a curated record
GACCUGAAAUUACAGUUAAACCUCAGCUAAAACAUGUUUUACCCGGAGCUACAUGCGCUUAGGAAUUUGUUUUGUUACCACAAAACAUUCAGGGAAUUUUGGUGUGACAUUUGAAAGGUGUCGGCAACACUGGAGUUGACAUUAGUUGCUGGACAGCCGCCUCCCCAUCCCUUUAUCCCCACCCCUCCGCCCAUUCUUUGUCUCCUCCAGAGUCUCCAGGAGCUUGAUAUGGAGCUUAUGGGGAAAAGGAGGAAGAUCAAUCCUGGUGUCAGCAGCUCAGCGCACAUCUCUCCCAGUAACGGCAGGACAAGUGUCAGCUGGAGGAGAGGCAGCCGCCAUGCAGAGACAGAGAGAGAGGGGAGAGAGUGAGUGACCUCUACAUGUGGCCAUUGAAAGACACCAGUGUCUCCAGCGAGUGAGCGGCUUGACUUGGUCCUGGGAGUUGACAGCUUAGCAGGUCUGCCUACAUUUGAAUGUAAGGACCUGUUUCACUUCUGGUCAUUGUAUUUAUUUACUCCAUAUUUACUGAGUUGUUGAUUCAGCUGCAGAAUGGUAAUUCCACUCAAAUUCAUGGUUGAUAAGGCAGAGAAAGGCACAGAUACUGGAGGUAUGACGAGAAGUACAAGAGAUUGUGGAAAACAGACUACAAACUAACAAUCAAGACUAAGAUCGAGAUGAACACAGUGAUCAACAAACAGGAGCGGAGAAAUCUACUCUUUAAAUGACCAUCAGCGGUUUACAGUUCAGACUGUGGUAGAUCCAGUCUUAUAGCUGUUGUUGCCACACAGAAACACACAGACAUUUGAUCAGAGCUUUGGUUGGAACAGGAAAACAGAUGAGAUGGAAAUCAGUAACUGAUGCUUGGAAAGAGAAGAGGUGCAUUUUUAUUUCGCCUGGCCAUGUUGCAGUCACGGCUGUGCCAAAAACUGAUUCAGUUUUUAAAGGAGGGUAAUUUGUCCAAAAUGAGGGACAAACUAAAUAGCUUCUCAUAUGCCUAAUCUGAAAAGCAGACAUGUUUUGUGUUGCACUUUGUAGUGUUGAGGCAAUAUGUAACAUAAAAGUAACAUAAAAAAUACAGUUUUGUUUAUGUGGGCUAAUUAUUGGUUAAUAUCAAUACAUUUAUUCAUAAAAAAAAAACAAAUGCAAAUAUUGAAAAUGAAGAUUCCAGCAUUAUUUCUAAAGAUGUGCAUGAAGAGUGAACGCAGUAGAUAGGCACAGGGGGCAACUCUUUUUCCAAAAAAUGGCCAGAUCAGAUUAAGGAAACAAUUCCAAAGACAGAUACAGUAAUUUUAAGUGAAAGCCAACAAGGCAAAUGGCAAAGAAAGGUCAUCAUAAACAAUGUUUUCCAGGAUACUGCAUCUCCCCACUAUGUCAGUGUCAAGGUGAAGUCAGCUUAACCAUCUCUUGUGUACAGGCCUGUAGGAUGCAGUAAUGUAGUUUGUAAUGUACAUUGCUCAGAUUGGUUCUAUCUGAUCACAAAACACUGCAUUAUUUUGCUAUGGCUAGCCUUAUGGUCAAAAUUUAAUUUCAUAAAAGUUUGGUAUACAGUUUACACAGAGAAAUGAUACAAGUCAGAUGUUUUUCCUUUCCAGCUGACACUGAUACAUCGAUGAUAUGUCGUUAUAUUUGUCUCUAAAGUCUGUCCUAAUAGCCUGGCCAUCGCCAAAGUAGUGCUGACAGUUGUCAAGUCCUGCUUGUCUCAUGUUUUGCAGCUCAGGGAAAAGAACUCUUUGGCCUGCAUAUUCCAAAGAUUUAAUUAAUUAUGCUGCGGUUAGUCUGUCUCCUGAUGUCAAGAAAGUUAUCUUUGAUAGCAAUCUGAGCUUGAAUAACUCAUGUGGAUAAAGUUUAAGCUUUUUGCAUGCAGAGUUUCUCUAAAAUAGACUUAAAGGGAUACUUCACCCACAAGAUCGUCGUCUGUAUAUCACUCCCAUCUGUUACUCACCCCAUGUUAGGCUGAAUUAGCGAAUAAAACUUUGUUUUUCUCUCAUACCUCCACUGUGGACGAAGAAUCCAAAAACGGAGGAAAUGCUUGAUUAAUUGAAGUAAAGGGGGGUCCAGUUUACCAACAGCAAAACUAUAUCAAAACAUCCUUAUACAAACUCUCACACAGCUCAUGCAGUAUAAUCCAAGUCUCAUUUGGAGUUCUGGCUUUGAAGAGAGCACAGAUAAGUUUCAUUUAUGCUCAGUACUUCCCAAACACAUUCAUUGUCUCGAAAACAUUACUAUUUAAAACACUUCCGCAUGAACAGUCUCACGCAUGGACACAAACACUGGGCAAGUGUUUGUGUUUGAACUCUGCUGCUUGGAGUGCAUGAGCAGAGUUCAAAUGCAUGUGCCUAAGUGUUUUAAAUAGUUAGGUUUUAGCAAAAUUGCAUGUGUUUUAGGA